Molecule: long non-coding RNA, 494 nt
Filed under: Brassica napus (rape)
Lineage: Eukaryota; Viridiplantae; Streptophyta; Magnoliopsida; Brassicales; Brassicaceae
Description: long non-coding RNA (BNAP_LNC010682)
Source: RNAcentral
AGAAAUUUAUAUACGUAUUUUGAAACUUUCAGGAAUCAUUCUAGAAGAAGCAUCCUUGAUUGAUCAAGAAGGUUAGGUCACAAAUGGCAUAAAUAGACUAGUCUUUGUACAUGUUGUGAUAAGAUGUGUGCUUGUUUUUAUUGAAUGUUGUAGAGAUGCCAACUAUCGGCACAUGCUUAAUUGUCCUUGUUAAAAAUAAGAACCAUAGCUCAGACUUUGAUGAAUAUGCCUCUACCGUUGAGGGUCCGUAUGAUGUCCCUACCGUUGUGGAUGUAGUGGAUGAAUAUUUCUCUGCCAAAGAGGGUCUGCAUGAUGUUGAUGUCCAGAUGGUAGGUUACUCCCUUCUUUUGUCAUAAAAGUUUGUUGAUCUCUUCACAUUACCUUUUAGGAUCUGUAUGGUGUCCCUGCCGUUGAAGGUCCGUAUAAUGUUCCUGUCAUUGAGAGUAUAGUGGAUGAAUAUUUAUCUGCCGAAGAGGGUCCAUAUGACGCUGAUA